This 433-nucleotide ribosomal RNA is filed under the name uncultured bacterium. RNAcentral describes it as "partial 16S ribosomal RNA". It matches the Rfam family "Bacterial small subunit ribosomal RNA", at positions 29 to 507 of the family's 1533-position model. The record is from RNAcentral.
AACGAACGCUGGCGGCAUGCCUAACACAUGCAAGUCGAACGAGACCUUCGGGUCUAGUGGCGCACGGGUGCGUAACGCGUGGGAACCUGCCCUUAGGUUCGGAAUAACUCCCCGACAGGGGUGCUAAUACCGGAUAAUGUCUUCGGACCAAAGAUUUAUCGCCUUUGGAUGGGCCCGCGUUGGAUUAGCUAGUUGGUAGGGUAAAAGCCUACCAAGGCGACGAUCCAUAGCUGGUCUGAGAGGAUGAUCAGCCACACUGGGACUGAGACACGGCCCAGACUCCUACGGGAGGCAGCAGUGGGGAAUAUUGGACAAUGGGCGAAAGGCUGAUCCAGCAAUGCCGCGUGAGUGAUGAAGGCAUUAGGGUUGUAAAGCUCUUUUACCCGGGAUGAUAAUGACAGUACCGGGAGAAUAAGCUCCGGCUAACUCCGUG